CCUACGGGAGGCAGCAGUAGGGAAUCUUCCGCAAUGGACGAAAGUCUGACGGAGCAACGCCGCGUGAACGAUGAAGGCCUUCGGGUCGUAAAGUUCUGUUGUUAGGGAAGAACAAGUGCUAGUUAAAUAAGCUGGCACCUUGACGGUACCUAACCAGAAAGCCACGGCUAACUACGUGCCAGCAGCCGCGGUAAUACGUAGGUGGCAAGCGUUGUCCGGAAUUAUUGGGCGUAAAGCGCGCGCAGGCGGCUUCUUAAGUCUGAUGUGAAAGCCCCCGGCUCAACCGGGGAGGGUCAUUGGAAACUGGGAAACUUGAGUGCAGAAGAGGAAAGUGGAAUUCCAAGUGUAGCGGUGAAAUGCGUAGAGAUUUGGAGGAACACCAGUGGCGAAGGCGACUUUCUGGUCUGUAACUGACGCUGAGGCGCGAAAGCGUGGGGAGCAAACAGGAUUAGAUACCCUGGUAGUCCACGCUGUAAACGAUGAGUGCUAGUAGUUAGGUAGGGUUUACCGGUCCCGUUUACGUUGUCGUGUAAGUUAACGUACGAUUAAGUACACCUCCGCCGUCGGGGAGGUACGGUCGGCGAGACGUAGUAAACGUACGAAAGGUUAAAGUUAGUACGGCGUUGAGACGUUGCCGACGGACGACGACGAGGGAGGUUAGG
This 662-nucleotide ribosomal RNA is filed under the name uncultured bacterium. RNAcentral's name for it is "bacterial SSU rRNA". The stretch from base 1 to 559 matches the Rfam family "Bacterial small subunit ribosomal RNA", at positions 338 to 873 of the family's 1533-position model. The record is from RNAcentral.